GACGGAGGAUGCAAGCGUUAUCCGGAAUUAUUGGGCGUAAAGCGUCCGCAGGUGGCUGUUCAAGUCUGCUGUCAAAGCGCAGAGCUUAACUCUGUACAGGCAGUGGAAACUGAACAGCUAGAGUAUGGUAGGGGCAGAGGGAAUUCCUGGUGUAGCGGUGAAAUGCGUAGAGAUCAGGAAGAACAUCGGUGGCGAAGGCGCUCUGCUGGACCAUAACUGACACUCAGGGACGAAAGCUAGGGGAGCGAAUGGG
RNAcentral lists this ribosomal RNA (253 nucleotides) under uncultured bacterium. Its description in RNAcentral is "partial 16S ribosomal RNA". It matches the Rfam family "Bacterial small subunit ribosomal RNA", at positions 524 to 776 of the family's 1533-position model. The record is from RNAcentral.